This 444-nucleotide ribosomal RNA is filed under the name uncultured bacterium. Its description in RNAcentral is "partial 16S ribosomal RNA". It matches the Rfam family "Bacterial small subunit ribosomal RNA", at positions 354 to 796 of the family's 1533-position model. The record is from RNAcentral.
GUAGGGAAUAUUGGGCAAUGGAGGCAACUCUGACCAAGCCAUGCCGCGUGCAGGAAGAAGGUCCUCUGGAUUGUAAACUGCUUUUGAAUGGGAAGAAACGUAGUCUUGCGAGGCUAUUUGACGGUACUAUUAGAAUAAGCACCGGCUAACUCCGUGCCAGCAGCCGCGGUAAUACGGAGGGUGCAAGCGUUAUCCGGAUUUAUUGGGUUUAAAGGGUGCGUAGGCGGCUUUAUAAGUCUGGGGUUAAAGGCGGCAGCUUAACUGUACGCAUGCCUUGGAAACUGUGAGGCUUGAGUGACUGGAGGUAGCUGGAAUUCCCUGUGUAGCGGUGAAAUGCAUAGAUACGGGGAGGAAUACCGAUUGCGAAGGCAUGUUACUACGAGUAAACUGACGCUGAUGCACGAAAGCGUGGGGAUCAAACAGGAUUAGAUACCCCAGUAGUCC